ACCCAAUAGAUACCCGGGUAGUCCACGCCCUAAACGAUGCAUAUUUGGUGUGGGCAGUUCAUUCUGUCCGUGCCGGAGCUAAACGCGUUAAAUAUGCCGCCUGGGGAGUACAGUCGCAAGGCUGAAACUCAAAGGAAUUGACGGGGGCCCGCACAAGCGGUGGAGCAUGUGGUUCAAUUCGACGCAACGCGAAGAACCUUACCUGGGCUCGAACGGCUGGCCAACGGCGGUGGAAACAUCGCUACCCCGCAAGGGGGUCCAGUCGAGGUGCUGCAUGGCUGUCGUCAGCUCGUGUCGUGAGAUGUUGGGUUAAGUCCCGCAACGAGCGCAACCCUUGUCCUGUGUUGCCAUACCGAAAGGUGGAACUCGCAGGAGACCGCCAGGGAUAACCUGGAGGAAGGUGGGGAUGACGUCAAGUCCUCAUGGCCUUUAUGUCCAGGGCUACACACGUGCUACAAUGGACGGUACAAAGCGCAGCGAACUCGCGAGAGGGAGCCAAUCGCAAAAAACCGUUCUCAGUUCGGAUUGCAGGCUGC
This 536-nucleotide ribosomal RNA is filed under the name uncultured bacterium. RNAcentral's name for it is "bacterial SSU rRNA". It matches the Rfam family "Bacterial small subunit ribosomal RNA", at positions 772 to 1308 of the family's 1533-position model. The record is from RNAcentral.